Bombus huntii is the source of this 2634-nucleotide long non-coding RNA. RefSeq lists it as uncharacterized. The record is from RefSeq and is a predicted model, not a curated record. NCBI's taxonomy places the organism in Eukaryota, Metazoa, Arthropoda, Insecta, Hymenoptera, Apidae. The transcript is spliced from 2 exons.
AUACGAAAUUGACGUCCGGGAAAUUUCGGACGAUAUCAUCGUCGAUGCCUGCCUUUCCUAACAGGACUAAUUUCUACUUUCGACGAUGAACUGGAUUCUCGUGAAAUCUUCCUUGACACGCAUACGGAACCAACAAGCGAAUUUGCCGAAAAUAUCUUGACCUCAAAUUAUGAGUAGACGAAAUUGAGGACUUGCUUUGAUAAAUAAAUAAUUUCGAAGGAAACAUCAGAAGCUUUUUUUAUGUUUCAAAAUUUUCUACUUAGGUUUGACAUAAUUUUACAUAAUUAAUCGUUUUCCGUUAUUCUCCACGUAAACGAUAUUGCUUCUGAAAUAUUUUCAUAUCGAGUUAAGGCUAUUAGUAAUUUUUCAACUUUAAAAUUGUUUAGCUAAGCUUAAGAGAAUUUGAUAUAAAUCAAGGAUUUAAUAUCCUUUUGUUUCGAGCAUAUUUCCCAAUUUAUUUAUAUAAUGUUUGAAAUAAAAAGAUUAUCUGAAUAUAUAAGAAGACAUAGUGAGGAUUCUUGUACAAUAUAGAAAGUUAGAUGACGCCAAAACUGCGGAAUGUUACAGGAUUGGUAACACAUUCGACUUCUGAUUCACACGAUACAUAAAAUUACAAGGCUUUUGUUGUAUCCGAACAAUUACCAUUUUUCAUCUACACAUCCAUGUAUAUAUAUAUAUAUGUAUGUGUAUAUGUAACGGAAUGUGAAUAUUUGUCUCUAACGUGGUAAUAUUGCGGCUUCGUGAUGACAUCAUACACUAUAGUUUGCACAAUUUUUCGCCUUUACCUUUUUUCAAUAUUCGAUACGGAAAAGAAGCAAAACUACAGAAAAAAUCUCAGAUUUAAAAGCUCAUAAUAAAUAUGAAGAAAUUAAUACGUUAAAUUAAGUGGAAAACGAUAUUGCUAUUUUUGUACUCAUAUUUUAUUCAUAUCUCUGUAAAAGCGAACAAUAUUUUCAGUGAUUCCCACCACACAGUGUGCGCCGAUAAAAUUGCAUUAAUUUGUAAUGUCUGCCUUGAUAAAGAAAUUAUCUCGAAAGAAGUAAAUCUCCAUACGAUGAUAAGCCGAAAAGAUGGAAUUGCGCAUGAAUACGUCAGAGGUUAAAAAGAAUCUAUGAUAUAAAUCUCCUAGUGCACUGGACUGAAUAUUUUUGUUUGUGUGUGUAUAAACUCCUCCAAUCAAUAAUGUCAGAGUUAUCGUCCGGGUAUAAUAAAAUGUCCACGAUAGCCGUGGAAAUACCAAAAACGCAAAAUAUUAUAAUUCUUAAUUCAGUUAUUCCACGCUAUCCAUAGCGAUGGAACGUCGUGUAAAUGUACACGCAGGUUUCAAUCAAAUACGAUAAAAUCUUUGACAAAAUUUCCAAAAUACAGUAUAAUUUAGUUUUCCUUAUAAUUAGACUACAUAUUUUUAUGCAAUUUGUUUUGUCUCUGAAUAUAAAUAAGAAAUAAUUUAGAUUAUUUCAUUUAGUAAAUAUUCUACUUCGAAUAUCUUUUUAUAGUUCUGCAUAUUAUGCGCAUUCUAAGCAUCUUAAAUUUAUGAUAAAAAUUUAUAAUACCCAAAAAUCCGUAAUCUACUUAUAUUAUAUACAGUUAAUGAAUAUUGACUUUUUUAAUUACAACAAUCAUUAAAUCCUACUAUAAAUAAACUAACAAUAAGUUUCUAUUGAAUUAUAAAAACAAUGUAUCUGUACAUAUUUCGUUGAAUUUCUUCUCUUGUUUUUUUUUUUGUUUCUAUGAUGAUACAUUGCUGGCGCGUGUAGUGAAAACGUAUGGAAGGGGUAAUGAUUUUUAUUGUCAAGGUUUAGAAUGGCUACAAAGUCAACAUCUACCUCUUACUCAUCUUGUGGCGGAGGAACAAGGAUCACUAAGAUCUUGUAACGGUGAAGAUGCCUUGGAUUUUCCCCAUCAUUAUACCAAAGACGUUCAUGCAUAUCUGUGAAAGAUGGGAUCUACGGAAACAUAUAAUUUAAAAAAUAUUCAGCCAUUAUAAAAAUAUAUAGUAUAAAAUAUUUAGUCGUAACAGCUUGUACAAUAUAACUCUAUUUAAAAGAGAGAAAAUACAGAGAAUUUCAAAUAUUGCAAUAUACAGGAUAUACCAAAAGUCAUGAUGGAAGGCGAAAAAGGGCGGGGAUUCACUGUAGGAGAGAUACGUAGCGUGAUAAUCUUUGAUAUAAGACUCCGUCUUCGACAAAAUUAACUAUGAGGUUUCGUCAAGUAUGCGUGCACUCGAGAGAUAACGAGAGUCGGUUGGACUGGUUUUCUUUGCAUUUAUGUACUGUUCGAUAGUAUACGCAAAAAGGGGGUAAUUCCCCAUGUAAAGGAAGUCGACAGUGUGGAGUGACAAAUUUUUAUAUAAGGCUUCGUUUUUUCGAAGAAAUCAACUACGUGGUUUCGUCAAGUAUGCGUAACGAGAUAACGAGAGUCGGUUGAACGAACUUCUUCUGCCAAUCUGUUGGGCAGAAUACAUACUCGAUGGAAAUUCACAGUCGACCUUCUUUAAUACAAAGGCUUAUAUUAAAAAUUGCCAUUCUACAUUUUCCACUUACUUUCGCAUGCGGAAUCAUUCCCUUUCGAUUUUUAGCAUGAUCCUUGGUACACCCUGUAUCUGGAAAAAUGAAAAAAAAAAAAAAAAGAAAA